AACGAACGCUGGCGGCAUGCCUAACACAUGCAAGUCGAACGGGAUCCUAGCUUGCUAGGUGAGAGUGGCGGACGGGUGAGUAACACGUGGGAAUCUGCCUUUUGGUUCGGGAUAACCGCGGGAAACUGCGGCUAAUACCGAAUGCCCUCGUGAGAGGAAAGAUUUAUCGCCAGAAGAGGAGCCCGCGUCCGAUUAGGUAGUUGGUGGGGUAAAGGCCUACCAAGCCGACGAUCGGUAGCUGGUCUGAGAGGAUGAUCAGCCACACUGGGACUGAGAUACGGCCCAGACUCCUACGGGAGGCAGCAGUGGGGAAUAUUGGACAAUGGGGCGAACCCUCGAUCCAGCAAUAGCCGCGUGAGUGAUGAAGGACCUUAGGUUGGUUAAAGGACUCUUUUGUUCC
Molecule: ribosomal RNA, 400 nt
Filed under: uncultured bacterium
Lineage: Bacteria
Description: bacterial SSU rRNA
Rfam family: Bacterial small subunit ribosomal RNA
Source: RNAcentral